UUCUGUAUUAGUUAAGAGAAUUUUUAACCCUGAUCAUCGUCAAAAUGCAGAUCAUUGUGUCCAUAUUAUGUGCAAUGCUGCUGGUAUCAUAUACAGGUUCUGUUUCUGUUACUCUGACACCUUCAGUUAAUUAUGUUGCUGUUGGACAAACUGCUACUUUUACCUGUCAGGUGGGAAUUAAGGACCAAUAUCGGGUGCGUUUCUUCAAACAAUCUCCUGGAGAAAUUCCUAAAAAAAUUCUGAGCUUUCAUCAUAAUCUCACCUCCCCUUAUUAUCCACCUGGAGUUAAUUCAUCUCAUUAUAGCUCCACUGUAAGCAGCUCUGGUACAGAGUAUCAGCUCAUCAUUACCAGUGCAGAAGCUACAGAUACAGCUGUUUAUUAUUGUGCUAAGGGGUUCCAAGACAAACAUUAUGAAUAUCACAGUGAUACAUCCCAUAGCAAUAACCUCUUAGCAACACUACACGGCAACAUGUUGUUGUGAAAUACAGUUCAUUACAUUUUACACAUUAACAUUGUUUUCCCUAAAUGUAAUAUUAGAUUUCUGAUACAUUUUACCUAUUUAUUUACACUAAAGUUACUUGUAUAAAAUGUUAUAAAUUUU
Molecule: non-coding RNA, 602 nt
Organism: Bombina bombina (fire-bellied toad)
Lineage: Eukaryota; Metazoa; Chordata; Amphibia; Anura; Bombinatoridae
Source: the annotation of a RefSeq genome assembly